AGUUAUACAAAUGAAGCUCUGUAACGUGAGCAAUGUAACUAAAACCAGUUUUUAAAAGGUUGCCCCAAAUUGGCAGCUAGCUCACUGUGUCUGAAUGCUCCUUUAAAGAGAAAGGGGUUGUUUUGGUUUUCAACCUUUGGGCAACAAUUCAAACCAUGAUCUAUCUUUCCCCAAUCUACAUCUGCCUGCUCUCAGACUCACUCUUGUGGAUAAAAGCAUGGCUAAAAAUAGUAACCCAGAAAAAGCGAUGCAGACAAGAAGUAACACGGCGACAUGGUUCCAGGAUGGCUUGCAACUCACUGUGAAGCUCAGGAGCCAUGGUGGCCUGGAGUUUACAUCACCCCUGCCUUUGGUAUGCUGGCAUGACGAGUAUAAGAAUGACACUUGACUAGCAGGAGAGCUUCUUAAGGGCAGGGGACAAGCGAAGAAAGCUGUGGUUUCCUGUAACAGUCUUUAUCUGUUGCAAAUAGAAGUUUCUUUGAUGAGAAGCGGAGCUAUACUUACCCGUGGAUAUAAAGACACCCAGUACUGAACAAGACCAGACUUGCUCUAUUUGGUAUACAUAAUGAAGAGCCAACUUUCUCAGUUUUCUACUAAACUUAAGAGUUGUAAGCAGAAAAAUAAGAAUUCUAGUGUGUUGACCUAGCAGAGAAGAAUGCCAGUAAGUAUUGAGGUAAUAAAAAGAAACCAUUGGAGUUUGAUAAACACAACGCAAAAUCUAACCCCAAGCAUACAACUGGCUAUUUUAUACUGGAAGUUAGGUAGAUCAUUUUUUCCUUAGUCUCUCUCUCUCU
Molecule: small RNA, 794 nt
Filed under: Rattus norvegicus (Norway rat)
Lineage: Eukaryota; Metazoa; Chordata; Mammalia; Rodentia; Muridae
Description: uncharacterized LOC103691931
Source: RNAcentral